This 1113-nucleotide ribosomal RNA is filed under the name Staphylococcus epidermidis. RNAcentral describes it as "bacterial SSU rRNA". It matches the Rfam family "Bacterial small subunit ribosomal RNA", at positions 61 to 1155 of the family's 1533-position model. Lineage: Bacteria; Bacillati; Bacillota; Bacilli; Caryophanales; Staphylococcaceae. The record is from RNAcentral.
GUCGAGCGACAGACGAGGAGCUUGCUCCUCUGACGUUAGCGGCGGACGGGUGAGUAACACGUGGAUAACCUACCUAUAAGACUGGGAUAACUUCGGGAAACCGGAGCUAAUACCGGAUAAUAUAUUGAACCGCAUGGUUCAAUAGUGAAAGACGGUUUUGCUGUCACUUAUAGAUGGAUCCGCGCCGCAUUAGCUAGUUGGUAAGGUAACGGCUUACCAAGGCAACGAUGCGUAGCCGACCUGAGAGGGUGAUCGGCCACACUGGAACUGAGACACGGUCCAGACUCCUACGGGAGGCAGCAGUAGGGAAUCUUCCGCAAUGGGCGAAAGCCUGACGGAGCAACGCCGCGUGAGUGAUGAAGGUCUUCGGAUCGUAAAACUCUGUUAUUAGGGAAGAACAAAUGUGUAAGUAACUAUGCACGUCUUGACGGUACCUAAUCAGAAAGCCACGGCUAACUACGUGCCAGCAGCCGCGGUAAUACGUAGGUGGCAAGCGUUAUCCGGAAUUAUUGGGCGUAAAGCGCGCGUAGGCGGUUUUUUAAGUCUGAUGUGAAAGCCCACGGCUCAACCGUGGAGGGUCAUUGGAAACUGGAAAACUUGAGUGCAGAAGAGGAAAGUGGAAUUCCAUGUGUAGCGGUGAAAUGCGCAGAGAUAUGGAGGAACACCAGUGGCGAAGGCGACUUUCUGGUCUGUAACUGACGCUGAUGUGCGAAAGCGUGGGGAUCAAACAGGAUUAGAUACCCUGGUAGUCCACGCCGUAAACGAUGAGUGCUAAGUGUUAGGGGGUUUCCGCCCCUUAGUGCUGCAGCUAACGCAUUAAGCACUCCGCCUGGGGAGUACGACCGCAAGGUUGAAACUCAAAGGAAUUGACGGGGACCCGCACAAGCGGUGGAGCAUGUGGUUUAAUUCGAAGCAACGCGAAGAACCUUACCAAAUCUUGACAUCCUCUGACUCCUCUAGAGAUAGAGUUUUCCCCUUCGGGGGACAGAAUGACAGGUGGUGCAUGGUUGUCGUCACCUCCUGUCCUGAGAUGUUGGGUUAAGUCCCGCAACGAGCGCAACCCUUAAGCUUAUUUGCCAUCAUUAAAGUGGGGCCCCCUAAGUUGACUGGCGG